GGCUGGUCCGAUGGCAGUUGGUUAUCAGAACUUAUAACAUUAGUGUCACUAAAGUUGUAUACCACCCCCCACUGCAAAUUUGACUGGCUUAAA
Molecule: Y RNA, 93 nt
Filed under: Cavia aperea (Brazilian guinea pig)
Lineage: Eukaryota; Metazoa; Chordata; Mammalia; Rodentia; Caviidae
Description: Y RNA (ENSCAPG00000003847.1)
Rfam family: Y RNA
About the family: Y RNAs are components of the Ro ribonucleoprotein particle (Ro RNP), in association with Ro60 and La proteins.
Source: RNAcentral